CCGUAGGUGAACCUGCGGAGGGAUCAUUACUGAGUUUACGCUCUACAACCCUUUGUGAACAUACCUACAACUGUUGCUUCGGCGGGUAGGGUCUCCGCGACCCUCCCGGCCUCCCGCCUCCGGGCGGGUCGGCGCCCGCCGGAGGAUAACCAAACUCUGAUUUAACGACGUUUCUUCUGAGUGGUACAAGCAAAUAAUCAAAACUUUUAACAACGGAUCUCUUGGUUCUGGCAUCGAUGAAGAACGCAGCGAAAUGCGAUAAGUAAUGUGAAUUGCAGAAUUCAGUGAAUCAUCGAAUCUUUGAACGCACAUUGCGCCCGCCAGCAUUCUGGCGGGCAUGCCUGUUCGAGCGUCAUUUCAACCCUCAAGCUCUGCUUGGUGUUGGGGCCCUACAGCCGAUGUAGGCCCUCAAAGGUAGUGGCGGACCCUCCCGGAGCCUCCUUUGCGUAGUAACUUUACGUCUCGCACUGGGAUCCGGAGGGACUCUUGCCGUAAAACCCCCCAAUUUUCCAAAGGUUGACCUCGGAUCAGGUAGGAAUACCCGCUGAACUUAAGCAUAUCAAUAAGCGGAGG
This 573-nucleotide ribosomal RNA is filed under the name Colletotrichum gloeosporioides. RNAcentral's name for it is "eukaryotic LSU rRNA". The stretch from base 202 to 355 matches the Rfam family "5.8S ribosomal RNA". Lineage: Eukaryota; Fungi; Ascomycota; Sordariomycetes; Glomerellales; Glomerellaceae. The record is from RNAcentral.